RNAcentral lists this ribosomal RNA (477 nucleotides) under uncultured anaerobic ammonium-oxidizing bacterium. RNAcentral's name for it is "bacterial SSU rRNA". It matches the Rfam family "Bacterial small subunit ribosomal RNA", at positions 364 to 832 of the family's 1533-position model. The record is from RNAcentral.
UUUCGCAAUGCCCGAAAGGGUGACGAAGCGACGCCGCGUGCGGGAAGAAGGCCUUCGGGUGUAAACCGCUGUCGGGAGUUAGGAAGUGCAAGGAUGUUAAUAGCGUUCUUGCUUGACUAAGGCUCCGGAGGAAGCCACGGCUAACUCUGUGCCAGCAGCCGCGGUAAUACAGAGGCGGCAAGCGUUGUUCGGAAUUAUUGGGCGUAAAGAGCACGUAGGCGGCUGUGUAAGUCGGUUGUGAAAGCCUUCCGCUUAACGGAAGAACGGCAUCCGAUACUGCAUAGCUUGAGUGCGGGAGGGGAGAGUGGAACUUCUGGUGGAGCGGUGAAAUGCGUAGAUAUCAGAAGGAACACCGGCGGCGAAGGCGACUCUCUGGUCCGUAACUGACGCUGAGUGUGCGAAAGCUAGGGGAGCAAACGGGAUUAGAUACCCCGGUAGUCCUAGCCGUAAACGAUGGGCACUAAGUAGAGGGGUUUU